Molecule: transfer RNA, 92 nt
Filed under: Armillaria solidipes
Lineage: Eukaryota; Fungi; Basidiomycota; Agaricomycetes; Agaricales; Physalacriaceae
Rfam family: tRNA
About the family: Transfer RNA (tRNA) molecules are approximately 80 nucleotides in length. Their secondary structure includes four short double-helical elements and three loops (D, anti-codon, and T loops).
Source: Rfam by way of RNAcentral
UCGGAUAUGGUGUAACGGUUAACAUUGCCGCCUCUCACUACGGAGAAGUGUAAAUGUCGCGGCAGCUCGGGGUUCGAUUCCCCGUAUCCGAA